UGGAUCAUGCAGUGUCGUAGGAUUGAAUAGAAAAACCAUUUGAGCCAAUAGUUGCUACAGUGGCAAAAUCCCAUACCACAUUUUAAAUUAUUCAUAGAAAAUGAACCUCCAAUGGACAUGGUCAUCGACUUUGAAUCACAUAAUCUUAGCCCUUAGCUUCCAAUAACUAGCCUCUUCCUCACAAACUUUAUGGGGUUUAUUUGGAUGAUCACAUCAACUUUGGUGGAAGUUGCAUAAUAGAUCUCCACACAAAAUAGAGAAUUCAAGGGGAAUAUGAUGUUAGCUUUUCUCUACCUUCAGAUAAAUAAUGUUGUUGCUUGUUCCAUUUUCCGAGAUCCAUAUGCAAAACCUUUGGGUCAACAGAGUAGCAACAAUAAUGAAUGGAUGGAUGGUGUGAACUCUAAAGCUUGUAAAAAUACCCAAAUAUCCGACACUAGCAAUCAGUCAUUCUCUGUAGGUUUUCUAGCCUGCAUGAUUUGGUGAGGGUGUGGAGAUGGACAGGUGGAUGGUUGGAUGGUGUUGAUGGUAGUGCAAUGGUUGAGGUGUCGGCCAUAGGAAGAUGACACAAAAUGCGAAUAGUCAUAUCUACAGGGAUAUACACCUUAAAGUACGUUUUGCAAAUAUAACAAAGGAUGUCUACAGUUGGUGGAAUCCAAGUCAAAGGAUGUCUACAGUUGUGAAUAGUCAUAUCAGUACUACUUUACUUCUAAAACAUUUGGUGGAAUCCAAGUCAAACUGUUAGACUUUUACAGUUGUUUUCUGGCCCACUUUUGAAAUGGUCAAGGACUUUGACUCCCAUGUCAUCCGCUCGUCUUAAAUAAAAGCCAACUGACAUCUGAAGUUUGAUCUGAGACGUGGGCUAUCCUUCAACCAAGCACCAAAAAUUUCAUUGACUUGGGCCUUUGACUUGUCAAAUGGGAAAACGUUUGAAGUGUGUCAUCAGUGAUGGGAAAACGUUGAAGUUCACAGUGAGUGAGCUUGAGCAAGGCUGUCAUCUUAGAAACCUUGAACCAAACUCGUAGGUGGGGACUACUACACUAAGUGAUCUUGAAAUUUUCAUUUAAAGCUUCCCAACAAGAAAGCGGAAACACUUGGAAUACCACCUAAAUAUUUUGACCCCAAUAAGUAGAAAAGAAUGACUAAGUUACAGUUGUACUUAAUAACAUUUUAAUUCAUAGUCAAUUAAGGACUGCUACUCAUGAUUUAUAUUGGGACAUGCGUUGAUGUUGAGAAAACUCUGCUGACAUUAGGUACUGAUUUGAGACGAUCUCAUACAUCAAACCUCACUGAAAUUGUAGUUAGGUAUGUGAUAGAGCUUAUAUAUGAAAUCAUACAGUUGCACGUUGAUGUUUACAAGGAAAAAAUCUAUAGUUCAACUUUUGAGGGUAAAAGACAUGCAAAAAAAGAGAGCAAAACAAAAACUAAUGGUUUGAGACGAGAUGACCAGAUGAUUAAGGCUUAAGCAAGUAUUGAAGAUGAAAUGAACAAAUCUAGCUCAACAAAAAAAGGUCCACUGGUUUUGAACAUAUGUUGGGGAAGGGCUGGAACUUGACUUUAACUUUUGGAUUUCUACAUGAUCCUAAAUGGAUGGUUUGCAUUGAUUGGAUUAAAAACAACAGCUGACAAGAAUAGACAGAAUAUAUGACAUAUUAGGGGACGAGAACCAGAGGAUUUAUACUAGAGGUCAGGUGAAGCCUAUUGACACUGUGCAAAUUAAGGAUGAUUUGGAAUCCACAUAUGGGCAUAGGACUUCAUUUUAAAUUAUAUUGUUUAAUUUACAAUUCUAGCUCUUGUGAGAUGGAAUACAAUUAAGCUUCGUAAUAUUGUGUUCAGCUAAAUAAUAAAACGAACACAGAAAUCAUUUCUAAGCUCGACUGUAGCUGAAACGUGAACAUCAAUCCAA
This 1903-nucleotide long non-coding RNA is filed under the name Musa acuminata (dwarf banana). Its description in RNAcentral is "long non-coding RNA (MACU_LNC005961)". Lineage: Eukaryota; Viridiplantae; Streptophyta; Magnoliopsida; Zingiberales; Musaceae. The record is from RNAcentral.